GGGGGUGUAGUGGUAAUUCUCAUUUCAUUGGAAGAAAGAAUUCUGGGUUCGAAUCCUAGCAUCCCCA
Molecule: transfer RNA, 67 nt
Filed under: Selaginella moellendorffii
Lineage: Eukaryota; Viridiplantae; Streptophyta; Lycopodiopsida; Selaginellales; Selaginellaceae
Rfam family: tRNA
About the family: Transfer RNA (tRNA) molecules are approximately 80 nucleotides in length. Their secondary structure includes four short double-helical elements and three loops (D, anti-codon, and T loops). Further hydrogen bonds mediate the characteristic L-shaped molecular structure. tRNAs have two regions of fundamental functional importance: the anti-codon, which is responsible for specific mRNA codon recognition, and the 3' end, to which the tRNAs corresponding amino acid is attached (by aminoacyl-tRNA synthetases). tRNAs cope with the degeneracy of the genetic code in two manners: having more than one tRNA (with a specific anti-codon) for a particular amino acid; and 'wobble' base-pairing, i.e. permitting non-standard base-pairing at the 3rd anti-codon position.
Source: Rfam by way of RNAcentral